CCUACGGGUGGCAGCAGUGGGGAAUAUUGCACAAUGGGGGAAACUCUGAUGCAGCGACGCCGCGUGAGGGAAGAGGGAUUUCGGUAUGUAAAGCUCUAUCAGUAGGGAAGAAAAUGACGGUACGUGAUUAAGAAGCACCGGAUAACUACGUGCCAGAAGCCGCGGUAAUACGUAGGGUGCAAGCGUUAUCCGGAUUUACUGGGGUUAAAGGGAGCGUAGGCGGCAGCAUAAGUCUGUGGUGAAAUGCCGGGGCUUAACCCCGGAACUGCAGUUGAAACUGUGCAGCUAGAGUGCAGGAGAGGUAGGUGGAAUUCGUAGUGUAGCGGUGAAAUGCGUAGAUAUUAGGAGGAACACCAGUGGCGAAGGCAGCUUACUGGACUGUAACUGACGUUGAGGCUCGAAAGCGUGGGGAGCAAACAGGAUUAGAUACCCUUGUAGUC
Molecule: ribosomal RNA, 440 nt
Filed under: uncultured bacterium
Lineage: Bacteria
Description: partial 16S ribosomal RNA
Rfam family: Bacterial small subunit ribosomal RNA
Source: RNAcentral